This 453-nucleotide ribosomal RNA is filed under the name uncultured bacterium. Its description in RNAcentral is "partial 16S ribosomal RNA". It matches the Rfam family "Bacterial small subunit ribosomal RNA", at positions 29 to 507 of the family's 1533-position model. The record is from RNAcentral.
AACGAACGCUGGCGGCAGGCCUAACACAUGCAAGUCGAGCGGACCCUUCGGGGUUAGCGGCGGACGGGUGAGUAACGCGUGGGAAUAUGCCCUUCUCUACGGAAUAGUCCUGGGAAACUGGGUCUAAUACCGGAUAGGAGCGUCCACCGCAUGGUGGGUGUUGGAAAGAUUUAUCGGUUUUGGAUGGACUCGCGGCCUAUCAGCUUGUUGGUGAGGUAAUGGCUCACCAAGGCGACGACGGGUAGCCGGCCUGAGAGGGUGACCGGCCACACUGGGACUGAGACACGGCCCAGACUCCUACGGGAGGCAGCAGUGGGGAAUAUUGCACAAUGGGCGCAAGCCUGAUGCAGCGACGCCGCGUGAGGGAUGACGGCCUUCGGGUUGUAAACCUCUUUCAGUAGGGAAGAAGCGAAAGUGACGGUACCUGCAGAAGAAGCACCGGCUAACUACGUG